Molecule: long non-coding RNA, 3918 nt
Filed under: Medicago truncatula (barrel medic)
Lineage: Eukaryota; Viridiplantae; Streptophyta; Magnoliopsida; Fabales; Fabaceae
Description: long non-coding RNA (MTRU_LNC007836)
Source: RNAcentral
UGCCAAACUUGCUGCGUCUUGCAAUUGUGUGCGAUGCAUAUGAUGGAGAAAUGUUGCACUUCCAAGUUGGGUUUAAGAAGUUGAACAAACUAUAUCUUGUGCAGUUGAAUAACUUGAAUUCCAUUUUAAUAGACAACGGAACUUUACCUGCCCUUAAACUAAUUGAAAUGGUGUCUAUUCCCAAACUAAGUGAGAUUCCCUCUGAUUUUCAUCUACUAAAGAGCCUUGAAACUCUGCGUUUGGUUAAUAUGCCUUAUGAGUUCAACCAAAGCAUUGAUCCAAAUGGUGGACCGAAGAACUGGGUCAUUGAACAUGUGAAAAUGGUAACUGUUGUAGAGAAGGUUGGUUCAAAUUCUGUAGAAUUCAGCUAUCGCACUAUUCGUCAUCCAAGGAGUACAUGAAUCAGAAGUUGAAAGGUAUCAUUUUCGUCUAAUUAUAUAGCAUAUUUGUAUGUAGUAUAAUACUUUAUAAUUAUCAAGGCAAAGUUUGUCUUCUAUAUUGCAAUUUUUCAUGAGUUUUUGGCGAAGCCACAUGUUUAUAAAAUUCUUCUGUAAAGUAGAAUCAUUCAUAUAUGUAACUCCCUCUCGUUUUGAUUUUGCUCCAUAUAUAUUUGUAGGCUUCUCAAUGUGGAUGGAACUUGGAAGUUUCAGAUUCUCAAUAUUUUACAGUUUCUUCAUUCAUUCAUAUUUUUGGUGCGCUUUUCAAUCCCCAAAUAAAGUGAAUUCCGGGGGCCAUACUGCUGCAAAAGCAGAUUAUAGAUGAACUUUGUGAUUUUCUUUGAUAUUUACAAUGUAAUCUGGGAGAUUUUCUUUAUGGCUUGUUGUAUGCCAAUUGUGUUUAUGUUUAUGAAGAAAAUUGAGUCUCGGUACCUUGUGUUUAAUUCUGCUUAAAUAUUAAUUUGACAAUCUUCAAUGGGCUACGCAAAUCCCUCGAGAUUACUCUCGCUUGGAUAUGAAUCAUAAAACAUUACAGUGUGACUGAAAGAACAUCUUAAAUUUACAAGCACAUCAACACAUUGAUUUGCCUCUCGCUACGCAUGACUGACCUUCACUUCCUGAUUUAAAUCCAUUAAUCGACAGAUCUACGUAACCAAAGAGUGCCCCAUGCAGCUCCCUGUCCACCCUUGCCUACUGUUUGAGAAGUUUAUUACUUAUGAGAGUGUUCAGGGUAAUUUAUAAGCUUAUGUUGGAAGAUUGGUUGAAUAUGAGAAUGCAUUGAAUAUUAGUUUGGUUUCACCAAUAAAGGAACAUAUACUCUAGUGCCCUUCUCCUUCAUAAGCUUAUAAAUACACCGAUUUGCCUUUACUUGGAGCACAUGUUGCUUACCCGCUUAAUUUGAUUUAUAUCUUGCAGGAAGUAGUUUGUGACACUUUAGUGCUCCCAAAUAGUGAAAGCACAAGCAUUCCUUGUAUGCUAGCUGAAAUAAUCAACAUUCUGCUGGUGUGAAAGCUAGUGCAAGGACCAAUAGUGAAGCAGAUUCUAUGGCCUUUGUACCGAGUUCCUUUGGCUCAAUAACAUUUAGGAAUAACGAAAGUUUAGAAGAACUAGAAAAUGCUUUAUUAGAGAAUGAUAAACCACAAGACGGUAAAGAUUUUCCAGAACUUAGAACACCAUCAUGGUUUUUGCAUAAAACAUCCACUAUAGGACAAUAAGUAAUUAUAUUAGGUGGUUCACCUCUAUCAUCCAUUUCAUCAACAAGUUCCAUAGCAUAUGAUAAUCUCCCGGAUUUGCACAAACCAUCAAUAAGGGUAUGGUAAGUUACCACGUCAGGAAAUAUUUGUUUGAGAGGCAUUUCUUCAAAGAGUUUGAUGGCUUCAUCCACCAUUUUCAUUUUACAAAAUUCAUUAAUCAUGAUAUUGUAGCUACGAACGUCAUAAGACAAUUCCCUUUCAGCCAUAGUUUUGAAUAUACUUUGGGCCUUGAACACUUCAUUAACAAGGCAAUAUCCAUUCAUUAAAGAGCUAUAAGCAACAACAUCGGAUUUUAAAUCUUUUUCCAUCAUCGUAUUGAGCACAUUUUUAGCUUCUUCUAUCUUUCCUUCCUUACAAAAGGCAUCUACCAAUCCAUUAAAAGUAUACACAUUCGGGUUAAUGUUUUCCGAUAUCAUUUUUUUAAACAAACCCAACGCUUCUUCCAAUUUACCAACAACGCAAAAACCAUCAAUUAAAGCAGUAUAAGUGACAACAUUAGGAGAAAUUCCGCUAGCAACCAUUUCAUAAUAUAAAUCAAAAGCAUCAUUAACAAAUGUAUCUUUGCACAUAUUGUCAAUAACCGUAGUGUACAUUACCACAUCAGGUUCAAAAGCUUGUCGCAGCAAUUGUAAAGCUGCUCUUGUAUCUCCUCCAACUUUACAUAAACCAUUGAUUAACGUCCCAUAACUAUAAUGGUCUACGUCAAAUCCCCGGGCUACCACCACCUUGUAGUGAAAAUUCAAUGCUCGCUGGAUAUCACCUGUUUGACAUAUACCCUUUAUGGGUGUAGUAAGUGGCGGAGCUGGAAAUAAUUUUGAGGGUGAGUCAAUUGUUUUAAUAGAUGUAAAUUUAUAUUUGUUUUCACGAAAGGUGUAAAUUUAUAUGUUUUUAUUAAUUAAUUCGAAUGACUAUUAAUUUUUUUUUCAUAGAACAUUAUUUAAACCAAUGUUUUAAGAGUAUUUUAACAUAAAUAUUAUAUAAUUUUACUUUAUUACACAUGUACUUUUAAUUGGAAAAAAAAAAUGUGUUUUUUUUAUUGGUGAGCAAUAUAGCAUUAUAUAUAUAAUAAUCAAAAUCAAGUUAAACCAUAGUUGUUGUCCUACUGGAUAAGAUCUUGUUGAUGUUAGCAGGCAAGCAAGAGUCGAACUGCGAACAAGAAACUGCAAAACACCUCCCCUAAACCAUUACACCGCACUUUUGAUCUAAUAUAUCUAACGCAACAUAUUAUAUAUAUAUCUUCUUAUAUAUUAAAGUUAACAAGUAAGCCCUAAUUUUAACCUAAAUCCUAUUGCAUAAUUUUACUGUUUUAACCCUAAUGUUCACACCUAAUCUCCUAUUUUCAUGAACAAUCCUAUUGCUCUCACCUANNNNNNNNNNNNNNNNNNNNNNNNNNNNNNNNNNNNNNNNNNNNNNNNNNNNNNNNNNNNNNNNNNNNNNNNNNNNNNNNNNNNNNNNNNNNNNNNNNNNAGCUUACAAAGUUGCGUCAUCUUUUAGUUUACAACAGAAGAGCACAUUUAAGAAUUAGUGGUGAAAGUGGGGUGAGAAUAAUUCAAGGUGUUGGAAGCAUGACAGUGUUGCAAAAACUUUAUCAUGUGGAGGUAGACCAUGGUGGGUUAGAACUAAUUGCAGAGUUAAAAAAGCUUAAACAAUUAAGGAAGUUGGGAUUAAAGAAUGUAAAGAGAGAAUAUGGAAAUGCUCUUUGUGAGUCAAUAGAGGAAAUGAAAUGCCUUGAAUCACUUCAUAUUAGUGCAAUAAAUGAAAAUGAAGUCAUAGACUUGCAAUUUAUUUCAUCUCUACCUCAACUUAGACAACUUCACUUGUUCGGUCGUUUAGAAAAGCUUCCAAAUUGGGUUCCAAGACUUGAACAACUUGUUAGACUGUCGAUUCGCUUUUCCAAGUUGAAGGACGAUCCUUUAAAGUUACUCAAAGAUUUGCCAAACUUGCUGCGUCUUGCAAUUGUGUGCGAUGCAUAUGAUGGAGAAAUGUUGCACUUCCAAGUUGGGUUUAAGAAGUUGAACAAACUAUAUCUUGUGCAGUUGAAUAACUUGAAUUCCAUUUUAAUAGACAACGGAACUUUACCUGCCCUUAAACUAAUUGAAAUGGUGUCUAUUCCCAAACUAAGUGAGAUUCCCUCUGAUUUUCAUCUACUAAAGAGCCUUGAAACUCUGCGUUUGGUUAAUAUGCCUUAUGAGUUCAACCAAAGCAUUGAUCCAAAUGGUGGACCGAAG